RNAcentral lists this ribosomal RNA (440 nucleotides) under uncultured bacterium. RNAcentral describes it as "partial 16S ribosomal RNA". It matches the Rfam family "Bacterial small subunit ribosomal RNA", at positions 338 to 795 of the family's 1533-position model. The record is from RNAcentral.
CCUACGGGUGGCAGCAGUAGGGAAUAUUGCUCAAUGGGGGCAACCCUGAAGCAGCAACGCCGCGUGAAGGAUGAAGGUUUUAGGAUUGUAAACUCCUUUUGUUAGAGAAGUUUAUGACGGUAUCUAACGAAUAAGCACCGGCUAACUCCGUGCCAGCAGCCGCGGUAAUGUGGAGGGUGCAAGCGUUAUUCGGAAUAACUGGGCGUAAAGAGUGCGUAGGCGGGGUAAUAAGUCAGAUGUGAAAUCUUGUAGCUUAACUAUAGAAUUGAAGUUGAAACUGUUACUCUGGAGUGUGGGAGAGGUAGGAGGAAUUCUUGGUGUAGGGGUGAAAUGCGUAGAUAUCAAGAGGAAUACUGAUUGUGAAGGCGGCCUGCUGGACCGUUACUGACGCUGAUGCUCGAAAGUGUGGGGAGCAAACAGGAUUAGAUACCCCAGUAGUC